RNAcentral lists this ribosomal RNA (372 nucleotides) under Triticum aestivum (bread wheat). RNAcentral's name for it is "partial small subunit ribosomal RNA". The record is from RNAcentral. Lineage: Eukaryota; Viridiplantae; Streptophyta; Magnoliopsida; Poales; Poaceae.
AUGGCUGCAUUGCCAGAUAGGAGUGGUCAUUCCAUUGUAGUUUGGACUUUGGAGGAUUAUGCUCAUCAUUUAUGGCAUUGGACCCUGAAGUGCCAUCUUAACAUGGCAGAUGCAUUUGGAAGGAAAGACUUGGUUUGCUACGACAAUGGAGGCAUCGGUGGUGUCUCUGACUGGUUUUGGAACUGCGAUUAUCGGAUUCUCGCUCUCGAGUUGGAGAGAGAGCUUGUUGUCCUCUCUGACCAUAAGACAAUGAAGCUUAUCUCUUACAAUAUCAGCACCGGGGAACUUAACGAGAUACGAGACGGCCUUGAGGGGUAUCGGUACUAUGUGCCAUGCUACUCAGAGCUUCUAGCCCAAGAACCUUCGGUGUAG